RNAcentral lists this ribosomal RNA (747 nucleotides) under uncultured cyanobacterium. RNAcentral describes it as "bacterial SSU rRNA". It matches the Rfam family "Bacterial small subunit ribosomal RNA", at positions 8 to 796 of the family's 1533-position model. The record is from RNAcentral. Lineage: Bacteria; Bacillati; Cyanobacteriota.
AGAGUUUGAUCCUGGCUCAGGAUGAACGCUGGCGGUAUGCGUAACACAUGCAAGUCGAACGAAGUUUUUCGGAACUUAGUGGCGGACGGGUGAGUAACGCGUGAGAAUCUGCCUUAAGGAUUGGGACAACAGUGGGAAACCGCUGCUAAUACCAAAUAUGCCUUUUAGUGAAACGGGUAAAACCGCCUUAAGAUGAGCUCGCGUCUGAUUAGCUAGUUGGUGUGGUAAGAGCGCACCAAGGCAACGAUCAGUAGCUGGUCUGAGAGGACGACCAGCCACACUGGGACUGAGACACGGCCCAGGCUCCUACGGGAGGCAGCAGUGAGGAAUUUUCCGCAAUGGGCGAAAGCCUGACGGAGCAAUACCGCGUGAGGGAGGAAGGUUCUUGGAUUGUAAACCUCUUUUCUCAGAGAAGAAUAAUGACGGUAUCUGAGGAAUAAGCAUCGGCUAACUCCGUGCCAGCAGCCGCGGUAAUACGGAGGAUGCAAGCGUUAUCCGGAAUGAUUGGGCGUAAAGGGUCUGUAGGUGGUUGUUCAAGUCUGCUGUUAAAGCGUCUGGCUUAACCAGAUAAAGGCGGUGGAAACUGAACGACUAGAGUGCGGUAGGGGUAGAGGGAAUUCCCAGUGUAGCGGUGAAAUGCGUAGAUAUUGGGAAGAACACCUGUGGCGAAAGCGCUCUACUGGACCGCGACUGACACUCAGGGACGAAAGCUAGGGGAGCGAAUGGGAUUAGAUACCCCUGUAGUCC